UACGUAGGGUGCAAGCGUUGUCCGGAAUUAUUGGGCGUAAAGAGCUUGUAGGCGGUCUGUCGCGUCUGCUGUGAAAACUCAGGGCUUAACCCUGAGCUUGCAGUGGGUACGGGCAGACUAGAGUGCGGUAGGGGAGACUGGAAUUCCUGGUGUAGCGGUGAAAUGCGCAGAUAUCAGGAGGAACACCGAUGGCGAAGGCGGGUCUCUGGGCCGUAACUGACGCUGAGGAGCGAAAGCAUGGGGAGCGAACAGG
Molecule: ribosomal RNA, 253 nt
Filed under: uncultured bacterium
Lineage: Bacteria
Description: partial 16S ribosomal RNA
Rfam family: Bacterial small subunit ribosomal RNA
Source: RNAcentral